This 468-nucleotide ribosomal RNA is filed under the name uncultured bacterium. Its description in RNAcentral is "partial 16S ribosomal RNA". It matches the Rfam family "Bacterial small subunit ribosomal RNA", at positions 28 to 507 of the family's 1533-position model. The record is from RNAcentral.
GACGAACGCUGGCGGCGUGCUUAACACAUGCAAGUCGAACGGAAAGGCCCUGCUUUUGUGGGGUGCUCGAGUGGCGAACGGGUGAGUAACACGUGAGUAACCUGCCCUUGACUUUGGGAUAACUUCAGGAAACUGGGGCUAAUACCGGAUAGGAGCUCCUGCUGCAUGGUGGGGGUUGGAAAGUUUCGGCGGUUGGGGAUGGACUCGCGGCUUAUCAGCUUGUUGGUGGGGUAGUGGCUUACCAAGGCUUUGACGGGUAGCCGGCCUGAGAGGGUGACCGGCCACAUUGGGCCUGAGAUACGGCCCAGACUCCUACGGGAGGCAGCAGUGGGGAAUAUUGCACAAUGGGCGGAAGCCUUAUGCAGCAACGCCGCGUGCGGGAUGACGGCCUUCGGGUUGUAACCCGCUUUCGCCUGUGACGAAGCGUUAGUGACGGUAAUGGGUAAAGAAGCACCGGCUAACUACGUG